This 412-nucleotide ribosomal RNA is filed under the name uncultured microorganism. RNAcentral describes it as "bacterial SSU rRNA". It matches the Rfam family "Archaeal small subunit ribosomal RNA", at positions 330 to 745 of the family's 1478-position model. The record is from RNAcentral.
GUGCACCAGUCGAGAAACCUCCGCAAUGCGGGAAACCGCGACGGGGGACCCCGAGUGCCGUGGCAACGCCACGGCUUUUCCGGAGUGUAAAAGCUCCGGGAAUAAGGGCUGGGCAAGGCCGGUGGCAGCCGCCGCGGUAAUACCGGCGGCCCGAGUGGUGGCCGCUAUUAUUGGGCCUAAAGCGUCCGUAGCCGGGCCCGUAAGUCCCUGGCGAAAUCCCACGGCUCAACCGUGGGGCUUGCUGGGGAUACUGCGGGUCUUGGGACCGGGAGAGGCGGGGGGUACCCCUGGGGUAGGGGUGAAAUCCUAUAAUCCCAGGGGGACCGCCAGUGGCGAAGGCGCCCCGCUGGAACGGGUCCGACGGUGAGGGACGAAAGCCAGGGGAGCAAACCGGAUUAGAUACCCGCGUAGU